UUCUGCGGGGAAGGGCCAUCGCUCAACGGAUAAAAGCUACCCUGGGGAUAACAGGCUUAUCUCCCCCAAGAGUCCACAUCGACGGGGAGGUUUGGCCCCUCGAUGUCGGCUCAUCACAUCCUGGGGCUGUAGUAGGUCCCAAGGGUUGGGCUGUUCGCCCAUUAAAGUGGUACGCGAGCUGGGUUCAGAACGUCGUGAGACAGUUCGGUCCCUAUCCGUCGCAGGCGUAGGAAAUUUGAGAAGACCUG
This 248-nucleotide ribosomal RNA is filed under the name Clostridioides difficile. Its description in RNAcentral is "partial 23S ribosomal RNA". It matches the Rfam family "Bacterial large subunit ribosomal RNA", at positions 2427 to 2674 of the family's 2925-position model. The record is from RNAcentral. Lineage: Bacteria; Bacillati; Bacillota; Clostridia; Peptostreptococcales; Peptostreptococcaceae.